RNAcentral lists this ribosomal RNA (253 nucleotides) under uncultured bacterium. RNAcentral's name for it is "partial 16S ribosomal RNA". It matches the Rfam family "Bacterial small subunit ribosomal RNA", at positions 524 to 776 of the family's 1533-position model. The record is from RNAcentral.
GACGUAGGGGGCCAGCGUUAUUCGGAAUUAUUGGGCGUAAAGGGCGCGUAGGCGGCCAUGCGUGUCUUCCGUGAAAUCCCUCGGCUUAACUGAGGACGUGCGGAAGAAACUGCAAGGCUUGAGUCCGGGAGAGGGGGGUGGAAUUCCCAGUGUAGCGGUGAAAUGCGUAGAUAUUGGGAGGAACACCGGUGGCGAAGGCGGCCCCCUGGACCGGUACUGACGCUGAGGCGCGAAAGCUAGGGGAGCAAACGGG